Molecule: ribosomal RNA, 440 nt
Filed under: uncultured bacterium
Lineage: Bacteria
Description: partial 16S ribosomal RNA
Rfam family: Bacterial small subunit ribosomal RNA
Source: RNAcentral
CCUACGGGCGGCAGCAGUGGGGAAUAUUGGACAAUGGGGGAAACCCUGAUCCAGCGACGCCGCGUGAGUGAAGAAGUAUUUCGGUACGUAAAGCUCUAUCAGCAGGAAAGAAAAUGACGGUACCUGACUAAGAAGCCCCGGCUAACUACGUGCCAGCAGCCGCGGUAAUACAUAGGGGGCAAGCGUUAUCCGGAUUUACUGGGUGUAAAGGGAGCGUAGACGGCAGCGCAAGUCUGGAGUGAAAUGCCGUGGACCAACCCCGGAACUGCUCUGGAAACUGUGAAGCUGGAGUGCAGGAGAGGUAAGCGGAAUUCCUGGUGUAGCGGUGAAAGGCGUAGAUAUCAGGAGGAACACCGGCGGCGAAGGCGGCUUACUGGACUGUAACUGACGUUGAGGCUCGAAGGCGUGGGGAGCAAACAGGAUUAGAUACCCCUGUAGUC